GUGCCAUGCUUGUACAGCCUACAGAAGUGUGAGCCAAAUAAACCUCUUUUAUUUAUAAAGUAUUCAGUCUCGGGUAUUCCUUUUUAGCAACACAAAUGGACACUAUCAAAGAACAACUGAAAAUUUAAACAUUAAAAUGUCAUUUACAUAAUAUCAAGAAGUAUAAUGUCCCCCCUCAUCCUUAGAUUUAUGGAUAAAUCAGACACAGGGUGAUAUGGUUUGGCUCUGUCCCUGCUCAAAUCUCAUCUGGAACUGUAGUUACCAUAAUCCCUAGAUGUUGUGGGAAGCACCCAGUGGGAGGUAAUUGAAUCAUGGGGGUGGCUACUUCAUUGCUGUUUUCUGAGGUUUUAUAUAGGGGCUUUUCCCUCUUUGCUUGGCACUUCUCCUUCCUGCUGCUCUGUGAAGAAGGACAUUUGCUUCUGCUUCUGCCAUGAUUUAAAGUUUCCUGAAGCCUCCCCAGCCAUGCUGAACUGAGUCAAUUAAACCUCUUUCCUUUAUAAAUUACCCAGUUUCAGGUAUGUCUUUAUUAGCAGCAUGAGAAUGGACUACAAAAGAUCAAAACAUUUGCUGAGUGAAAUAACACCUAAACAAAUGAAGAGGCUUACUUUGUUCAAGGGUCGUAACUCAAUAUUGUUAACAUGUAAAUUAUUCUCAUGUGGAUCUAUAGAUGAAAUGUAACUCCAAUAACAAUCCCAACUUUUUAAAGUGACAAGCCGAUUUUAAUAUUCAUAUGAAAACCCAAGGGACUAAAUGAGCCAAAACAUUUUUGAAAACAAAAGAUUGGAGGCCAAACACGACGUAUUUUUUUUUUUUUCCUUUGAGACGAGUCUUGCUAUGUGGCGGACUGGAGUGCAGUGGCGCGAUCACGCUCACUGCAACCUCUGCCUUCCGGGUUCAAGCGAUUCUCCUCCCUCAGCCUCCUGAGUAGCUGGGGCUACAGGCGCACUCCACGACGUCUGGCUAAUCUUUUAUACUUUACUAGAGACAGGGUUUCACCACAUUGGCCAGGAUGGUCUCCAUCUCCUGACCUCGUGAUCCACCCGCGUUGGCCGUCCAAAGUGCUGGGAUUACAGGCGUGAGCCACCGCACCCGGCCACACAAUGUGAUUUUAAGAUUCUUAAUUAAUCUACAGGAGUCAAGACAGUGUGGAAUUUUUGGAGAGAGAAAUAUAAUAAAUUGUCAGAACAGAAAGUCUUAGACCUACACCUGAUGCUUUAGGGACAACUGAUUUUUGACACAGGUGCAAAAGCUAUUCAGUAAGAAAAAGCUCUCUGAACAAAUGACACCAUUCAUAUGCAAAAAAACAACUUAA
Long non-coding RNA from Cebus imitator (Panamanian white-faced capuchin), 1312 nucleotides. RefSeq lists it as uncharacterized. The transcript has 3 exons. The record is from RefSeq and is a predicted model, not a curated record. Lineage: Eukaryota; Metazoa; Chordata; Mammalia; Primates; Cebidae.